Molecule: long non-coding RNA, 1164 nt
Organism: Papaver somniferum (opium poppy)
Lineage: Eukaryota; Viridiplantae; Streptophyta; Magnoliopsida; Ranunculales; Papaveraceae
Exons: 3
Source: RefSeq, a predicted model, not a curated record
CCUCUCGAUUGAGAUUAUGUUGUUUACUAAACACAAUUCUAGAAGAAUACAAAACAAAAUCAUAAAGCAAGUUCAAGCAAUCAUUUUUCUUUCUACUGUUUUCCAUUUCUCUUCUCUGCUAAAACCCCACUUCCUUUGUCGUAGAAUAUGUCUGCCAUUAAUGGUUAUUGCUGCCAAAGAAACAUAUCGCAACCUUCGACGGGAUAAUCCAUAGUAAAAUUUAGAAUUUGAACAAAAUCUUUAUUUAAGUGACAACCAAUUUUUGAGAUAUGAUUGACUGACAAACGCAGAAGCACAGAUUAAAAUUGAAUAUUGUAACCUAAUUCGGUGAAUUAUUAUUUUUUGAUAUUUUUAUUCUUCAAUCCUUAAAACCGAUUCCGGUAGACUGCUAUGUUAAGAGAGAUCAUAGAUUUAUAAUGAUGAUCGAGGAAUCAUUGAUAAAAUUUGUAAUCCCAAAAAAAAAUACUGAAAAAUUCUCCAACAAAAAUUCUCCAGGGUUUGUUCUUUCUUUACGUGACGUGUGAAGGUUAGGCAACUUCUCUCCACCACGUCAACUGCCACAUGAAUGACCACCUCAGAAUAGCUGUUACUCGGCGGUUAAAGAGCUGGUCAUAUAGCAUUUUCGUUAAUUCCUCUACCUGUUUAUUCAAAUCGAACACAUAAAAAUCAGAGAAAACCCCCAACCCCUUUAUUCUUUCUUCUUCACCUCAAAUCGAACACAGAAAAUCCCAGAUUCCCAGCCCCUUUCUUCACAGUUCUAAGUUCAAACCGUAGACCGUUACUCUUAUCAAUCUCAUGUUCAUCUUUCAGGGUCUCGUUUAAAACCCUUUACUCCGUUGGUUCGUUGACACUCUAAUAGUCCAAUUCCGGCCCUCCUUCACCAAAAUCUGAUGGAGAAUACAUUGUUCCAAUCUUAGGUUUUGUGAGUGAGCGCAAGACGAAUGGAUCUCUGCUUAUUGCAACGUGGAGGGCUAAACCAACAAAGAAUGAGGGCUUUUCGACUACAUUCAAGGGAAGAACGAAUACAGGAAGAAAAUUGAAAUGACUGCUCCAGUUAUCACCCAAAUCUCCCCAAGCGACUGGCCAUUCUCUGCAUCAUCAUUCGUUGUUAGCUUUUAUGUCCCUAAAGAGAACCUAGCUAAUGUACCUCCAGCAAAAGACUCA